CUUGUUGUGGCAGAUCUGGAGGCAGCCCCCGUUCUCCUGGCUGCAUUCGUUGACAUCUGGGAACAAGCACAGGCCUGAAGGGGAGCCCAAGGGUGCACAGCCCCUGGCUACGGGGCUGGGGCUGGCCUUCGGAGUUACGAGGAAACGAGGACCAGGACCAGGGAUUCUGCAUCAGCACAGCCGCCAGGAGCCGGCCGGGGCCCCAUCCCUGACACUGCUGUCGCCCGGCUGUACCUGGGUGCUGUGUCCGCGGGGCGUCUGGAGACGUCGAUGUGGUCAUAGCAGGGCCUGGAACGGGGAGGUCUGGCCUGAACUAGAGAAAUGAGGGGCGUAUCCGCUUCUCCACCCUGGCCUCAGAUGAAGAGGCUCUGGGGGCAGGAGGGAGUCAGACACGUGCAGGGCAGGCGGCCUGUGCAGGGCCCAACCCUCCGGCACCAGAACCUGACCUCCUCAGAGGCCCCCACCAUGGAGGGAUGUCUGGGGGAUGCUGUGCGCUGCCGCUACGAUGUUUGGUUAGAGAUUAAAGCCAUUUCAGAAGUGGACACCUGCCCAUGUGAUGCAAAGGGCUGGGAACCCGGUCUUGACUUUGCCUGGAAUGCCUUUCGGAAAGACCUCUGUCCCUGAGGCUGAGGGACAGUGCCUGCUCCUGCCAGGUGCCCAGCUCUUAAGCGGUCCCCAGACUCAUGCCACCUGCCCCGGGGCCUCCCCCAACUCAUUUGUUUAUUUCCCUGUUGGGAAUGUAUUGAUACCUCUAGGAUGCAAGGACGGAACCACACCUGAGGGGUGGACAGUCAGCCGGUGCCCAGCAAAUAUCUGUGGAAUUUCCUCCACACAACAGGGAAAGCGAUGGAGACAGAAACCU
Molecule: long non-coding RNA, 862 nt
Filed under: Homo sapiens (human)
Lineage: Eukaryota; Metazoa; Chordata; Mammalia; Primates; Hominidae
Description: HSALNT0375398
Source: RNAcentral